RNAcentral lists this ribosomal RNA (272 nucleotides) under uncultured Lachnospiraceae bacterium. Its description in RNAcentral is "partial 16S ribosomal RNA". It matches the Rfam family "Bacterial small subunit ribosomal RNA", at positions 72 to 339 of the family's 1533-position model. The record is from RNAcentral. Lineage: Bacteria; Bacillati; Bacillota; Clostridia; Lachnospirales; Lachnospiraceae.
AUCCUUCGGGUGACGGAUCGGAUGGAGAGCGGCGGACGGGUGAGUAACGCGUAGGUAACCUGCCUCAUACAGGGGGAUAACAGUUAGAAAUGACUGCUAAUACCGCAUAAGACCACAGCACCGCAUGGUGCAGGGGUAAAAACUCCGGUGGUAUGAGAUGGACCCGCGUCUGAUUAGCUGGUUGGUGGGGUAACGGCUCACCAAGGCGACGAUCAGUAGCCGACCUGAGAGGGUGAUCGGCCACAUUGGGACUGAGACACGGCCCAGACUCC